AACGCACAUUGCGCUCGAGGCUUCGGCCAAGAGCAUGUCUGCCUCAGCGUCGGGUUAAUAUCACCACCUAACUACACUGUGGUUAGCUGUCGGUGGAUCUGGCCGUUCCAGCGAAAGGCGGUAUUGGUGGCUCAUCUUAACCGAUGGACCAUCGAUGCCAGUAGUCCUGCUGGAUCAGCUGAAGUUCAGAGGCUAACUAAGGACCCGUAUACAUGGGCCGCAACUGGGUAGGUGGUGGCUGUCUCUUUAGAGGCGAGAGACUGGCUGUCAACAAACGCUUAGUUGUUGGUCUGGGGACUUAUUCGUUGGGCCCUCAACCAGGAAAUGAUUAACCCAUCUCUUAUUAUCUCGACCUGAGCUCAGGCAAGAACACCCGCUGAACUUAA
This 386-nucleotide unclassified non-coding RNA is filed under the name uncultured soil eukaryote. RNAcentral's name for it is "sequence contains 5.8S rRNA gene, ITS2, 28S rRNA gene". The record is from RNAcentral.